AUAUCAAUAAGCGGAGGAAAAGAAACUAACAAGGAUUCCCCUAGUAACGGCGAGUGAAGCGGGAAGAGCUCAAAUUUGAAAUCUGGCGUGCUCAGUGCGUCCGAGUUGUAAUCUAUAGAGGCGUUUUCCGCGCCGGUCCGCGUCCAAGUCCCUUGGAACAGGGUAUCAAAGAGGGUGACAAUCCCGUGCUUGACGCGACCGCCGGUGCUAUGUGAUACGUCUUCUACGAGUCGAGUUGUUUGGGAAUGCAGCUCCAAGUGGGUGGUAAAUUCCAUCUAAAGCUAAAUAUAAAUGGGAGACCGAUAGCGCACAAGUA
This 316-nucleotide ribosomal RNA is filed under the name uncultured Tremella. Its description in RNAcentral is "partial large subunit ribosomal RNA". It matches the Rfam family "Eukaryotic large subunit ribosomal RNA", at positions 40 to 350 of the family's 3401-position model. Lineage: Eukaryota; Fungi; Basidiomycota; Tremellomycetes; Tremellales; Tremellaceae. The record is from RNAcentral.